AACCCAGUGCUCCAUGUUGGCACUGAGACCUCUACUGCCUGCUUCUCAACCUUUGGGGUAGAGAGGUUGGCAGCUCCUCUAUGGUGACCCAAGUGAUUACCCUUUUUGGAUCCUCCCAAUGUUCUUGACCUCAAAGCUCAUCACACCCCAGAGCAGCCCUCUAUCUUUUCAGUUUAGUACAACCUCAGAACCAUGGUUUUCUCUUCAUGGUGACCCUAGGUUUCUUCCAUCCUUCAGAGAUGCUUCCAAGUUCCUGGACCUUUUAAGGUACCCCUUCUAGUUUUUUAGUGCAUCUGUGGAUGAUGAUGUUGAUGGUAGUGGUGGUGGUGAUGAUGAUUGUGAUGAUGAUGGUGAUGGUGGUGGUGGUGGUGGUGAUGGUGGUGGUGGUGGUGAUGGUGGUGGUGAUGAUGGUGGUGGUGAUGAUGAUGGUGGUGGUAGUGGUGGUGAUGAUGUUGGUGGUGAUUGUGGUGGUGGUGGUGAUGAUGGUGGUGGUGGUGAUGGUGGUGGUAGUGGUGGUGGUGGUGAUGGUGAUGAUGAUGAUGAUGGUAAUGAUAAUAUUGAUGAUGAUUAUAUCUCUUUGGCCAACUUGAUUCUUUUUCUUUGUUUUUUGUUUGUUUGUUUGCUUGCUUGUUUGUUUGCUUUUUUGGGCUGCAACCACAGCAUGUGGAAAUUCCCAGGCUAGGGGUCAAAUCAGAGCUCCAGCUGCUGGCCUACACCACAGCCAACAGCAAAGUGGGAUCCAAGCUGCAUCUAUGACUGACACCAAAGCUCACAACAACACCAGAUCCUUAACCCACUGAGUGAGGCCAGGGAUGGAACCUUCCUCUUCAUGGAUACUAGUCAGGUCUGCUACCACUGAGCCACAACAGGAACUCCUCCUUUCUCUCCUUGAAUAAAACCAAGCACUAAUGUUUUCCAGUGACAGGAGAAUUUCUACAUGGAGCUCAGGCAUGAUGCAGCUCAGGCUUCCUUACUGCAUUCCUUCCUAUUCCAUCUCACUUGCUUUCUGAGAUUGCUUUGGGCUUAUGGACUCCACAUUGCGGGAAGCUCACUGAGGCUGCAGCCCUAUGGCAGCUGCCUCCUUGGUGAGGCAGCUCUGGUUAUUCUGGCCUUUCCAGUUCAGUUCCUGCUCAGCCCUUUGAAGAACUCCUUUGCUGUUCAGUCCUGCUGCUGCUUCUCUGCGCCUCUGGUCAAUGUAUCCAGCUGGACCCUGGCAGCUCUCUCCUCCCUGCUAACUGUUAUUGGCCUUUGUUGCCUUUGCCAUAACCAUUAAACUAGUAUGAGGUGGGUUUUUGGCACCUACCCCUAAUUUUUCCUUAAAAAUAUUCCAUGGACAUUCCCUGAGUAGUGGUUAAAGAUCUGGUGUUGUUGGAGUUCCCGUCGUGGCUCAGCAGAAACAAAUCUGACUAAUAUCCAUGAGGAUGCAGGUUUGAUCCCUGGCCUUGCUCAGCUGGUUAAGGAUCCGGCGUUGCCAUGAGCUGUGGUGUAGGUGGCAGAUGCAGCUCCAAUCCUGCAUUGCUAUGGCUGUGGCAUAGGCCAGCAGCUGCAGCUCUGAUUUGACUCCUAGCCUGGGAACCUCCAUAUGCCUGGGUCUGGCCCUAAAAAGGAAAAAAAAAAAGAAAGAAAUAGAUCUGGUGUUGUCACUUCUGUGGCUCAGGUCACUGCUGUGACAUGAGUUAAAUUUCCUGCCCCGGAACUACUGCAUGCCGCAGGUGCAGCAAAUAAAAUAAAUAAAAAAGCUCCAUGGAGGUAGAAAUGUAUUCUCCAUCACAGACCAUGUUGAGGCCAUUUCUACUCUGGCCUUUAAAGAACCACAUGCAGAAGCCAGGCAGUUCCAAUCCACUGCUGGUCAACACAGCACUUGGUACCCUGGGUGUGAACAGGGAUUUAUCCCAGGACGAAUCACAGAAAUCAGAUCUCAGUGCUGGGACAGAAAAGCUGAACCAGCAACAAGAGAACCUGACCCUGACUUGCCUGGACACUUAGAUGUGGGUCCUCACUCAGUGGAGCUCAGAGCCCAGAGCCUAGGGUGGGUGCCCUGCAGGUGGAGGACAAAUGGGAGAGGAUGAUGGGGAGAGAUCAAGUAAAAGGUUCCAUCCUUUCCACCAGAAGGAUUAUUACAGAGCCCGCUGACCUGGAGGGCAAUUCACAUUCAGCCAUUAUGCCCUGAAGGGAACAGUCCUCUAGCCCAGGACAUUUCCAAUACAGGACUUGGAGACAUGUCACUGGUGACUGAUGUCAUCUCAAAGCAGGUACGUAAGCAGGAUGUAAGUAAGGCAAGAGUGUGGAGCAUGCAGGUGAAGGUGGACACGUGAGUCUGGGCACAGGACCUGCCCCUUGGGGAAGUGGAGGCAGGUGACGGCCAGGUAGUCUGAUUCAUGCAGCACUGGGAAGACUGCUCUACCUCCCUCAUGACUGAAAAUUCCUGGAAGUCCACCCCCAGGCUCUUCUUUGCAAAAUGUCCUUAUUUCCACAAGGUGUCACAGGAAGUCCCUGACACAUGCAUGAUACCUCAUCACACUGUAUCCUCCUGAUGAGCAGGAGGGAACUAGGGAGAGGUGGGGGUACCAAGAAGGGCCGCAGAGGCCGGAAGUAGAGAACAGGGAGAUGCCCAGGGGAGGAGGAAGCCCUGCCGUCAAAUCUAACCACUGCACCAUCACCUGCUCCCUAACAGCGCAUUUACGUGAGGUCGUUUGCUUUACAAGGGGACUUUGGUCUGGCUGACUUUAUGUGGAUACUCCUGAUCUGCCCUCCCCAUGCAGGCAGUGCUGCAGUAUGAGAGGAAACUCCCCCUUGGGUUAGCGUCACUGCCUUCCUGGGAGAGUUCAACAUGUUUAUCUUAGGCUUGAGGUUGUAAUUAUGAUUGAGCAGAACGCAGCUUCGGAAUGUCUCUUUCUUCGUUUCAUGUAAAUUAAGUUGCUGGUGCCUGUGGGAAUGCGUGUGUCUCUCUUCCUAAGGGGAACUGGAGAAUUCAUUAGUUAUUGACUAGGAAGUGCUCUGCAGAUAAAAAGCUCUCCGGAAAUGCGAGUUAUUAUUAUUAGGUGCCUUCUGUUUAUAAAUCAUCCUUAAUGGGUUGUUCAGUAUUAUUCUGUUUUGCUUUGUAUGAGAACUGGCUUCGAACCCCAAGUUCAGCAGUGGCCAAUACACACGCCCAACCAAGGAGUUCUUGUCAUAGCUCAGUGGUUAAUGAAUCCAACUAGGAACCAUGAGGUUGCAGGUUCUAUCCCUGGCCUCAUUCAGUAGGUUAAGGAUCCGGCGUUGCCGUAAGCUGUGGUGUAGGUCGCAGACGCAGCUCAGAUCUGGUGUUGCUGUGGCUCUGGCGUAGGCCGGCAGCAACUGCUCCGAUUGGACCCCUAGCCUGGGAAU
Molecule: long non-coding RNA, 3366 nt
Filed under: Sus scrofa (pig)
Lineage: Eukaryota; Metazoa; Chordata; Mammalia; Artiodactyla; Suidae
Description: lncRNA (ENSSSCG00000051965.1)
Source: RNAcentral